ACAGAGCGUCGGAUGCCGGAAAGUUGGUCAAACUUGAUCAUUUAGAGGAAGUAAAAGUCGUAACAAGGUUUCCGUAGGUGAACCUGCGGAAGGAUCAUUACCGAUACAACAAGCUAACAACUGUGUUGUCUGCUGUGUGAACUGUACCCAACCUUAUUCAGGGGUCGGCCCGGGGGGCCGUUAAAUGGCGAUCGGACGCGGAGUCUCGCGGCCGCUUCGCCUGCCCCGCCUUGGUUUUUUUAAACAUACGUGUCUUGUCUGAAGUCUGUCGAGGCGUCCGCCACGUCGAGUAGGAAAAAAAGCGAGAGACAACUUUUGACGGUGGAUCUCUUGGCUCACGCAUCGAUGAAGAACGCAGCCAGCUGCGAUAAGUAGUGUGAAUUGCAGAAUUCAGUGAAUCAUCGAAUCUUUGAACGCAAAUGGCGCUCUUGGGUUCUCCCAGGAGCAUGUCUGUCUGAGUGUCGGAUUGUCAUCCAUCGCGGGUGCGCGCUGCCGUGCGCGCGCCGGCGGCGUUGAGGCGUCACGGCCUUUUUAACACCUGGGCCGUGUCCCUCGAAAGGCAGAGAGACUCGCUGUGGUUCGGGGCUCGUUCCCGCAGCGCAGCAGCGGAGGCCAAAAGUGUCAGCACUCCUUCGCGCGCUGCCGGGACCCCGCCGCGCCCGAGUCGUGUAGGCGAAAAAACCAUGAUUCAUCUUCUUGACCUCAGAU
This 708-nucleotide small RNA is filed under the name Dipsastraea faviaformis. RNAcentral describes it as "eukaryotic LSU rRNA". The stretch from base 311 to 464 matches the Rfam family "5.8S ribosomal RNA". Lineage: Eukaryota; Metazoa; Cnidaria; Anthozoa; Scleractinia; Merulinidae. The record is from RNAcentral.